This 2058-nucleotide ribosomal RNA is filed under the name Escherichia coli. Its description in RNAcentral is "bacterial LSU rRNA". It matches the Rfam family "Bacterial large subunit ribosomal RNA", at positions 890 to 2925 of the family's 2925-position model. Lineage: Bacteria; Pseudomonadati; Pseudomonadota; Gammaproteobacteria; Enterobacterales; Enterobacteriaceae. The record is from RNAcentral.
UCAUCUCCGGGGGUAGAGCACUGUUUCGGCAAGGGGGUCAUCCCGACUUACCAACCCGAUGCAAACUGCGAAUACCGGAGAAUGUUAUCACGGGAGACACACGGCGGGUGCUAACGUCCGUCGUGAAGAGGGAAACAACCCAGACCGCCAGCUAAGGUCCCAAAGUCAUGGUUAAGUGGGAAACGAUGUGGGAAGGCCCAGACAGCCAGGAUGUUGGCUUAGAAGCAGCCAUCAUUUAAAGAAAGCGUAAUAGCUCACUGGUCGAGUCGGCCUGCGCGGAAGAUGUAACGGGGCUAAACCAUGCACCGAAGCUGCGGCAGCGACGCUGAUGCGUUGUUGGGUAGGGGAGCGUUCUGUAAGCCUGCGAAGGUGUGCUGUGAGGCAUGCUGGAGGUAUCAGAAGUGCGAAUGCUGACAUAAGUAACGAUAAAGCGGGUGAAAAGCCCGCUCGCCGGAAGACCAAGGGUUCCUGUCCAACGUUAAUCGGGGCAGGGUGAGUCGACCCCUAAGGCGAGGCCGAAAGGCGUAGUCGAUGGGAAACAGGUUAAUAUUCCUGUACUUGGUGUUACUGCGAAGGGGGGACGGAGAAGGCUAUGUUGGCCGGGCGACGGUUGUCCCGGUUUAAGCGUGUAGGCUGGUUUUCCAGGCAAAUCCGGAAAAUCAAGGCUGAGGCGUGAUGACGAGGCACUACGGUGCUGAAGCAACAAAUGCCCUGCUUCCAGGAAAAGCCUCUAAGCAUCAGGUAACAUCAAAUCGUACCCCAAACCGACACAGGUGGUCAGGUAGAGAAUACCAAGGCGCUUGAGAGAACUCGGGUGAAGGAACUAGGCAAAAUGGUGCCGUAACUUCGGGAGAAGGCACGCUGAUAUGUAGGUGAAGUCCCUUGCGGAUGGAGCUGAAAUCAGUCGAAGAUACCAGCUGGCUGCAACUGUUUAUUAAAAACACAGCACUGUGCAAACACGAAAGUGGACGUAUACGGUGUGACGCCUGCCCGGUGCCGGAAGGUUAAUUGAUGGGGUCAGCGCAAGCGAAGCUCUUGAUCGAAGCCCCGGUAAACGGCGGCCGUAACUAUAACGGUCCUAAGGUAGCGAAAUUCCUUGUCGGGUAAGUUCCGACCUGCACGAAUGGCGUAAUGAUGGCCAGGCUGUCUCCACCCGAGACUCAGUGAAAUUGAACUCGCUGUGAAGAUGCAGUGUACCCGCGGCAAGACGGAAAGACCCCGUGAACCUUUACUAUAGCUUGACACUGAACAUUGAGCCUUGAUGUGUAGGAUAGGUGGGAGGCUUUGAAGUGUGGACGCCAGUCUGCAUGGAGCCGACCUUGAAAUACCACCCUUUAAUGUUUGAUGUUCUAACGUGGACCCGUGAUCCGGGUUGCGGACAGUGUCUGGUGGGUAGUUUGACUGGGGCGGUCUCCUCCUAAAGAGUAACGGAGGAGCACGAAGGUUGGCUAAUCCUGGUCGGACAUCAGGAGGUUAGUGCAAUGGCAUAAGCCAGCUUGACUGCGAGCGUGACGGCGCGAGCAGGUGCGAAAGCAGGUCAUAGUGAUCCGGUGGUUCUGAAUGGAAGGGCCAUCGCUCAACGGAUAAAAGGUACUCCGGGGAUAACAGGCUGAUACCGCCCAAGAGUUCAUAUCGACGGCGGUGUUUGGCACCUCGAUGUCGGCUCAUCACAUCCUGGGGCUGAAGUAGGUCCCAAGGGUAUGGCUGUUCGCCAUUUAAAGUGGUACGCGAGCUGGGUUUAGAACGUCGUGAGACAGUUCGGUCCCUAUCUGCCGUGGGCGCUGGAGAACUGAGGGGGGCUGCUCCUAGUACGAGAGGACCGGAGUGGACGCAUCACUGGUGUUCGGGUUGUCAUGCCAAUGGCACUGCCCGGUAGCUAAAUGCGGAAGAGAUAAGUGCUGAAAGCAUCUAAGCACGAAACUUGCCCCGAGAUGAGUUCUCCCUGACUCCUUGAGAGUCCUGAAGGAACGUUGAAGACGACGACGUUGAUAGGCCGGGUGUGUAAGCGCAGCGAUGCGUUGAGCUAACCGGUACUAAUGAACCGUGAGGCUUAACCUU